GACGAACGCUGGCGGCGUGCCUAAUACAUGCAAGUCGAACGCAUUUUCUUUCACCGUAGCUUGCUACACCGAAAGAAAAUGAGUGGCGAACGGGUGAGUAACACGUGGGUAACCUGCCCAUCAGCGGGGGAUAACACUUGUAAACAGGUGCUAAUACCGCAUAAUUCCAUUUACCGCAUGGUAAAUGGAUGAAAGGCGCUUUUGCGUCACUGAUGGAUGGACCCGCGGUGCAUUAGCUAGUUGGUGGGGUAACGGCCUACCAAGGCUGCGAUGCAUAGCCGACCUGAGAGGGUGAUCGGCCACACUGGGACUGAGACACGGCCCAGACUCCUACGGGAGGCAGCAGUAGGGAAUCUUCGGCAAUGGACGCAAGUCUGACCGAGCAACGCCGCGUGAGUGAAGAAGGUUUUCGGAUCGUAAAACUCUGUUGUUAGAGAAGAACAAGGAUGAGAGUGGAAAGUUCAUCCCUUGACGGUAUCUAACCAGAAAGCCACGGCUAACUACGUG
This 507-nucleotide ribosomal RNA is filed under the name uncultured bacterium. RNAcentral describes it as "partial 16S ribosomal RNA". It matches the Rfam family "Bacterial small subunit ribosomal RNA", at positions 28 to 507 of the family's 1533-position model. The record is from RNAcentral.